GACGAACGCUGGCGGCGUGGAUUAGGCAUGCAAGUCGAACGGUAACAGGUCUUCGGAUGCUGACGAGUGGCGAACGGGUGAGUAAUACAUCGGAACGUGCCCGAUCGUGGGGGAUAACGGAGCGAAAGCUUUGCUAAUACCGCAUACGAUCUACGGAUGAAAGCAGGGGACCGCAAGGCCUUGCGCGGACGGAGCGGCCGAUGGCAGAUUAGGUAGUUGGUGGGAUAAAAGCUUACCAAGCCGACGAUCUGUAGCUGGUCUGAGAGGACGACCAGCCACACUGGGACUGAGACACGGCCCAGACUCCUACGGGAGGCAGCAGUGGGGAAUUUUGGACAAUGGGCGGAAGCCUGAUCCAGCCAUGCCGCGUGAGUGAAGAAGGCCUUCGGGUUGUAAAGACUCUUUUCGGCGGGGAAGAAAGUUGCUUGGGUUAAUACCCUGAGUAGAUGACGGUACCCGAAUAAGAAGCACCGGCUAACUACGUGCCAGCAGCCGCGGUAAGCUCGU
This 507-nucleotide ribosomal RNA is filed under the name uncultured bacterium. RNAcentral's name for it is "bacterial SSU rRNA". It matches the Rfam family "Bacterial small subunit ribosomal RNA", at positions 28 to 528 of the family's 1533-position model. The record is from RNAcentral.